AGCGAACGCUGGCGGCAUGCCUUACACAUGCAAGUCGAACGGCAGCACGGGUGCUUGCACCUGGUGGCGAGUGGCGAACGGGUGAGUAAUACAUCGGAACGUACCUUAUCGUGGGGGAUAACGCAGCGAAAGCUGUGCUAAUACCGCAUACGCCCUGAGGGGGAAAGCGGGGGAUCGCAAGACCUCGCGCGAUUAGAGCGGCCGAUGCCUGAUUAGCUUGUUGGUGGGGCAAAGGCCCAACAAGGCGACGAUCAGUAGCUGGUCUGAGAGGACGAUCAGCCACACUGGGACUGAGACACGGCCAGACUCCUACGGGAGGCAGCAGUGGGGAAUUUUGGACAAUGGGGGCAACCCUGAUCCAGCAAUGCCGCGUGAGUGAAGAAGGCCUUCGGUUUGUAAAGCUCUUUUGUCAGGGAAGAAACACCGGCUCUAACACAGUCCGGGAAUGACGGUACCUGAAGAAUAAGCACCGGCUAACUACGUGCCAGCCGCCGCUGUAA
Molecule: ribosomal RNA, 500 nt
Filed under: uncultured bacterium
Lineage: Bacteria
Description: partial 16S ribosomal RNA
Rfam family: Bacterial small subunit ribosomal RNA
Source: RNAcentral